AACGAACGCUGGCGGCGUGGAUUAGGCAUGCAAGUCGAGCGAGAAAGGGGUAGCAAUACCCUGAGUAAAGCGGCAAACUGGUGAGUAACAGGUGGGCAACGUACCCCGAAGUUGGGGAUAACUCCAAGAAAUCGGGACUAAUACCGAAUGUGGCGUCUUGGACCUUGGUUCGAGGCGCUAAAGGCUUCGGUCGCUUUGGGAUCGGCCCGCCCCUGAUUAGCUAGUUGGUGAGGUAACGGCUCACCAAGGCGACGAUCAGUAGCUGGUCUGAGAGGAUGGUCAGCCACACUGGAACUGAGAUACGGUCCAGACUCCGUACGGGGGGA
This 326-nucleotide ribosomal RNA is filed under the name uncultured bacterium. RNAcentral's name for it is "bacterial SSU rRNA". It matches the Rfam family "Bacterial small subunit ribosomal RNA", at positions 29 to 349 of the family's 1533-position model. The record is from RNAcentral.